AGCCAGACUCCUACGGGAGGCAGCAGUGAGGAAUAUUGGUCAAUGGCCGUAAGGCUGAACCAGCCAAGUAGCGUGAGGGAAGACUGCCCUAUGGGUUGUAAACCUCUUUUAUGCGGGGAUAAAGGUGUCCACGUGUGGAUGUUUGCAGGUACCGCAUGAAUAAGGACCGGCUAAUUCCGUGCCAGCAGCCGCGGUAAUACGGAGGGUGCAAGCGUUGUCCGGAAUCAUUGGGCGUAAAGAGUUCGUAGGCGGUAUGUUAAGUCUGGUGUUAAAUGCAGAAGCUCAACUUCUGUUCGGCACUGGAUACUGGCAAACUAGAAUGCGGUAGAGGUAAAGGGAAUUCCUGGUGUAGCGGUGAAAUGCUUAGAUAUCAGGAGGAACAUCGGUGGCGUAAGCGCUUUACUGGGCCGUAAUUGACGCUGAGGAACGAAAGCCAGGGUAGCAAAUGGGAUUAGAUACCCGAGUA
Molecule: ribosomal RNA, 466 nt
Filed under: uncultured bacterium
Lineage: Bacteria
Description: bacterial SSU rRNA
Rfam family: Bacterial small subunit ribosomal RNA
Source: RNAcentral